GACGAACGCUGGCGGCGUGCUUAACACAUGCAAGUCGAACGGAAAGGCCCUGCUUUUGUGGGGUGCUCGAGUGGCGAACGGGUGAGUAACACGUGAGUAACCUGCCCUUGACUUUGGGAUAACUUCAGGAAACUGGGGUUAAUACCGGAUAGGAGCUCCUGCUGCAUGGUGGGGGUUGGAAAGUUUCGGCGGUUGGGGAUGGACUCGCGGUUUAUCAGCUUGUUGGUGGGGUGGUGGCGUACCAAGGCUUUGACGGGUAGCCGGCCUGAGAGGGUGACCGGCCACAUUGGGACUGAGAUACGGCCCAGACUGCUACGGGAGGCAGCAGUGGGGAAUAGUGCACAAUGGGCGGAAGCCUGAUGCAGCAACGCCGCGUGCGGGAUGACUGCCUUCGGGGUGUAAACCGCUUUCGCCUGUGACGAAGCGUGAGUGACGGUAAUGGGUAAAGAAGCACCGGCUAACUACGUG
Molecule: ribosomal RNA, 468 nt
Filed under: uncultured bacterium
Lineage: Bacteria
Description: partial 16S ribosomal RNA
Rfam family: Bacterial small subunit ribosomal RNA
Source: RNAcentral